Long non-coding RNA from Cucumis sativus (cucumber), 582 nucleotides. RefSeq lists it as uncharacterized. The record is from RefSeq and is a predicted model, not a curated record. The transcript has 2 exons. Lineage: Eukaryota; Viridiplantae; Streptophyta; Magnoliopsida; Cucurbitales; Cucurbitaceae.
GCCUUGGUCUUGUGGCUAUCCUGCUAUGGUAGCCAAUCAUGCAUAUAUUGGUAAAUGUAAAUAUAUUUAUAAAAUAAUUUUUAUUUUAAUCUAGCACAUAAUAUAAUAUAUAUGCAUUGUUAAUUGGUUGUGUUAUAGUGUUCUUUACAAGUAGGUACGGUUGAAUGUGGAUAUUAUGUCAUGAGAUACAUGCAAGAAAUUGUGACUAAGGACACAAACAUUAUCACUGAUGCGGAAGCCCAUACACACAGCUUGAAUUGGAUAGACGAGGGGAGUGGGCUGGAUUUUUAGCUCGGUACAUAUGAUAGACACACUUAGAUAUGAUCAUGUUAAUUUUGUAAAUGGCUAAGAUAUGGGAAUGCUCAUAACCUUUUUUGUGGAAACGUUUUGUUCAUAGCCAUUAUGAGGGCAAAAGAUAUAUGGGGAUAGGCUUCAAUUUUGAUUAUAUAAGACAACUAUUAUCAUUUAAUAUUUUGGAAUAGGACACAUAUAGGAAAUUUUAGUUGGCUAUAUUAGAUUGGAAUUGUGUAAUUGUUGAUGACAUUGUUGAGAAUAAUGAAAUUAUUGUUGGUUUACAUAUUA